UGAAGGAGAGGAGACAGGUUAAAUCCACUUCAGAGUAGAUGAAGGAGAGGAGACAGGUUAAAUCCACUUCAGAGUAGAUGAAGGAGAGGAGACAGGUUAAAUCAGUAUUUCUGGAAAUUAGGAAGUUCUUUGUCCACUCAGUGUAUAUCUGUGGCUCUGGCUGCAGUCUUUAUAAUGGACAGUUUGGAAAAGCCGUUCUGCAACACACUCACUCUCUCUCACACACAUGGUCAGGCCGGCCCCCACAGGAGCCCACAAUGACAUCAUAGUCUCACCUCUGACCCAAGAGAACUUCUUCUUGGUUGGGGUUUGAAGGCGGUGUACAUACCAGUAUUACUGCCAUACCCAAGAAAACAUUUAAAGGGGAGGGGCUUAAUGGCCAACUCAGCCAAUCAGAAGUAAUGUCCAAAAUUAUGUCCACUCUGCUGUUUGAUGGGCUCCAUCAGUGAUGAUGUCAUCCCGCUCAGUCAGAGCCAUCCUGGUUCUCCAGGAUCAGAUCUGAAGGAGAGAAGAAGAGGAGGAGGAGAGAGAGAGAGAGAGAGAGAGAGAGAGAGUGUGAGACAGAGAGUGAGUGAGUGAGUGAGUGAGUGAGUGAGUGAGUGAGUGAGUGAGUGAGUGAGUGAGUGAGUGAGUGAGUGAGUGAGUGAGUGAGUGUACCUGUCAGUGUGCUGCUGACAUUUGUAGGAGAAACGAUAAGCACCGCCCCCUUAGCUAUCCCAGAAUCCACCGCCUGCUCCUGAGAGGGAGAGUCCAGGACCUUGGCAGUAAAGCUGUCUGUCAUUGGCUCCAGAGUCUCGGUGGCUCCACCUUGUGAGGAACCAAUCAGGAAGUUCUGCUCUGGCUCCUCCCCCUGCAUCUCCACAACCAGCUGUGAUUGGCAAAGAGGCUCUGGAGAGCUGUGGUCAGAGGUGACCGUCUGAAUGAUGACGCUGUCAUUGGAACAAAGACCCUCCGUCUGACAACAAGAAAACAUGCUGCACUUAAAGUCAGAUAAUAAUUAGUUUCUAUGGG
This is a long non-coding RNA of Oncorhynchus tshawytscha (Chinook salmon), 1011 nucleotides long. The record is from Ensembl. NCBI's taxonomy places the organism in Eukaryota, Metazoa, Chordata, Actinopteri, Salmoniformes, Salmonidae.